AUGGCCGUUCACCACCUCCUCCGCCGCGGGAUCUCUGGUGGGUCUCCCCUCCACCCUCUGCGCGGCCUCCUCGUAUCGCAGGAGCUCGGUCGGCGUCAGGCGAGCUCGGCGGCGGCGGGGGACGCGGUGGCCGAGCUGAGGGGCGCGCGGGAGGACGUCAAGCAGCUGCUGAAGGAGAAGUCCUGCCAUCCCAUCCUGGUUCGCUUGGGUUGGCAUGACGCUGGUACUUAUGACAAGAACAUUAAUGAGUGGCCCAAGUGUGGUGGAGCUAAUGGUAGCUUGAGGUUUGAAAUUGAGUUAAAGCAUUCGGCUAAUGCUGGUCUUGUGAAUGCUUUGAAACUUAUUCAAGCCAUCAAGGACAAAUAUGCAGGUGUUACUUAUGCGGAUCUGUUUCAGCUUGCCAGUGCUACAGCCGUUGAGGAAGCUGGUGGCCCCAAAAUCCCCAUGAUCUAUGGAAGGGUUGAUGUUUCUGCCCCUGAACAAUGCCCACCAGAGGGGAGACUCCCUGCUGCUGGUCCGUCUUCACCUGCUGAACAUUUGCGAGAAGUAUUCUACAGAAUGGGCCUGAAUGACAAGGAAAUUGUUGCAUUGUCAGGAGCACACACACUUGGACGAUCAAGACCAGAGCGCAGCGGCUGGGGUAAACCUGAAACAAAAUACACUAAAAAUGGACCUGGUGCACCUGGGGGGCAAUCUUGGACAUCACAGUGGCUCAAGUUUGAUAACAGCUAUUUCAAGGAUGUCAAAGAACGACGAGACGAGGACCUCCUAGUUCUGCCUACUGAUGCUGUGCUCUUUGAGGAUUCAUCAUUCAAGAUUUAUGCUGAAAAGUAUGCUGAGGAUCAGGAUACAUUUUUUGAAGACUACGCUGAAGCUCAUGCUAAAUUGAGCAAUCUGGGGUCUAAGUUUGACCCUCCUAAGGGUGUAUCACUAGACUAG
RNAcentral lists this ribosomal RNA (939 nucleotides) under Triticum aestivum (bread wheat). Its description in RNAcentral is "partial small subunit ribosomal RNA". Lineage: Eukaryota; Viridiplantae; Streptophyta; Magnoliopsida; Poales; Poaceae. The record is from RNAcentral.